GCAGUGGUGGUCCAGUGGUAGAAUUCUUGCCUUCCAUGCAGGAGAUCUGGGUUCGAUUCCCAGCCAAUGCA
Loxodonta africana (African savanna elephant) is the source of this 71-nucleotide transfer RNA. It matches the Rfam family "tRNA". Rfam says of the family: Transfer RNA (tRNA) molecules are approximately 80 nucleotides in length. The record is from Rfam. Lineage: Eukaryota; Metazoa; Chordata; Mammalia; Proboscidea; Elephantidae.